This 182-nucleotide ribosomal RNA is filed under the name uncultured soil bacterium. RNAcentral describes it as "partial 16S ribosomal RNA". It matches the Rfam family "Bacterial small subunit ribosomal RNA", at positions 26 to 211 of the family's 1533-position model. The record is from RNAcentral.
AGAUUGAACGCUGGCGGCAUGCCUUACACAUGCAAGUCGAACGGCAGCAUGACGUGUAGCAAUACACGUUGAUGGCGAGUGGCGAACGGGUGAGUAAUAUAUCGGAACGUGUCCCGUAGCGGGGGAUAACCUAUCGAAAGAUGGACUAAUACCGCAUACGCUCUACGGAGGAAAGCGGGGGU